RNAcentral lists this ribosomal RNA (254 nucleotides) under uncultured bacterium. RNAcentral's name for it is "partial 16S ribosomal RNA". It matches the Rfam family "Bacterial small subunit ribosomal RNA", at positions 524 to 776 of the family's 1533-position model. The record is from RNAcentral.
UACGUAGGGGGCGAGCGUUGUCCGGAUUUAUUGGGCGUAAAGAGCUCGUAGGCGGUUUGGUAAGUUGGAUGUGAAAUCUCCAGGCUCAACUUGGAGGGGUCAUUCGAUACUGCCAUGACUAGAGUUCGGUAGGGGAGUGUGGAAUUCCUGGUGGAGCGGUGAAAUGUGUAGAGAUCGGGAGGAACACCGGUGGCGAAGGCGGGUCUCUGGGCAACUCCUGACGCUGAGGCGCGAAAGCGUGGGGAGCAAACGGG